CCAGACUCCUACGGGAGGCAGCAGUGAGGAAUAUUGGUCAAUGGUCGGGAGACUGAACCAGCCAAGCCGCGUGAGGGAUGAAGGUACAGAGUAUCGUAAACCUCUUUUGUCAGGGAACAAAGGCGGGGACGCGUCCCCGGAUGAGUGUACCUGAAGAAAAAGCAUCGGCUAACUCCGUGCCAGCAGCCGCGGUAAUACGGAGGAUGCGAGCGUUAUCCGGAUUUAUUGGGUUUAAAGGGUGCGCAGGCGGUCUGUAAACGCCGCGAAAACCGCGCGGGGCCCCCCCCCGGCCCGCCGUUGAAACUGGCAGUCUCGAGUUGGAGAGAAGUAUGCGGAAUGCGCGGUGUAGCGGUGAAAUGCAUAGAUAUCGCGCAGAACUCCGAUUGCGAAGGCAGCAUGCCGGCUCCACACUGACGCUGAGGCACGAAAGCGUGGGUAUCGAACAGGAUUAGAUACCCCUGUAAG
Molecule: ribosomal RNA, 465 nt
Filed under: uncultured bacterium
Lineage: Bacteria
Description: bacterial SSU rRNA
Rfam family: Bacterial small subunit ribosomal RNA
Source: RNAcentral